CUCACGCUGCUUCAAUGAACACUGCAAUCUAUAAAAACCCAUCACACACCCUCUCACAAUGAUCACACACUCUCUUCUUUCUUCUUCAUUUCUCUUUCUCUCUCACUCUGACUCUGAGCUCUGACUCUGAUACUUGUACUCAUGUACACUGCCUUCUUCUCUGUUCCCUCUCUGUCAGAAAUGAUGCUGUCUUACUCAGCUCUUAUCUAUCUUGAAUUCUGCACUCACAGAGUUGUCAAGCUGCUGAUCUGAUAUCAUCUGAUUGAUCUCUGAGCUCUUCUCAUUGCCUCUUUAUGAUGCUACUCAGUUUGACUCUGAGAUUAAGACUGCUGGGAUGUCUGCACCUUUGUUUUUCUGCUGCUACUAGUGCUGUGAUGGAAGAGAGAGAAGAGAGCUGCAGAUGGUAUGAUGAGAGUGAUGAGAAUUGAAGAUAGAGAGAAUAACAUGAUUCAUGGUCUGAGGAGAGAGUCAAAAUCAACAGAGUGAAGUGUCAAAAACAGCUCCUCUUCCCCCUCUCAAAAGAAGAACAGUGGGUGAGUGAGGGUGAGCAACUUCUAAAAUUGUGGCCACACAU
This 574-nucleotide small RNA is filed under the name Histoplasma ohiense. Its description in RNAcentral is "hypothetical lncRNA". The record is from RNAcentral. Lineage: Eukaryota; Fungi; Ascomycota; Eurotiomycetes; Onygenales; Ajellomycetaceae.